AUGGACGACAAGAGUAACGUGAAGAAGGAAAUAGAUGGCUCCCUUGCGCCCCGUCCUCGCAAGGGAGGACUUAAAUUCGCACCCAAAAAGCCUCCAAAGAAACCUGCAAAGGUUGUCCCAAAAGCGGAGCCUGUUGAGGAGAGCAAGGAUGAAAUCAUUGAUAAGGAAUUGUUGAUGAAACUGAAGACAUCACAGAGCACUGAUCCCUUUGGAAGAAGACCUAAGGUUGAGAAAAAAGAAAUCAAUACACAGGUUGCAUUUGGGCAAGGGAACUCUUCGUACGCAAGAUCUUUUCCUACGCGGAAGUAUUCGGCAGCGCCAAAACCACCAAAAGAAUAUGUGGAUCCAUGGGAUUAUACCCAUAGCGACUAUCCUAUAACUCUCCCACUUAGGAGGCCCUACUCUGGAGAUCCUGAGAUUCUUGAUGAAGAGGAGUUUGGAGAGAAUUCGGCCAGCAGAGCUCAGGAUGGGGAAUUAACUGCAGCAGAAGAACUUGGAUUAAUGGAUUGGUCCGACACACCACAGUUACUCUUCUUCCAGUUACCUGCGUCUCUUCCUUUACCAAAGCAAAUGGAAUCUGUUGAAGAACCAAAUACUGGCUCUGAGGAGAAUGUUGAACCUGCCACAAGCUCUAAAGUGGCACGUGGGCAGACACUCCCUGGCUCUAAGAUCAAAGAUCUGCCAGGAGGUCUCAUGGGGAAGAUACUCGUUUAUAAAAGCGGUAAAGUGAAGAUGAAGAUAGGAGAUGCACUGUUUGAUGUAUCUCCUGGUUCAAAUUGCAUGUUUGUCCAGGAGGCCGUAGCGGUUAACACCAGAGAAAAUCAUUGCUGCACCCUGGGAGAGGUCAGUAAGCGCGCGGUUAUUACCCCGGACGUUGGCUAUCUGCUGGGCUCUACUGACAAGAUGGAAGAAUAA
This 915-nucleotide ribosomal RNA is filed under the name Triticum aestivum (bread wheat). RNAcentral describes it as "partial small subunit ribosomal RNA". Lineage: Eukaryota; Viridiplantae; Streptophyta; Magnoliopsida; Poales; Poaceae. The record is from RNAcentral.